GUGAAUCAUCGAAUCUUUGAACGCAAAUUGCGCUUCCUGGCAUCCCGGGAAGUAUGCCUGUUUGAGGGUCAGUAUUAAUAAAAAAUCGGUUUGGUUGUACAUUGUGACGUUUCCGGCGUUUGGGCUAUCUUCACUUUUUUGGUUAAGGGGCUUAAAAUUGACCUUUUUUGUGCAUUAUUAGACGUACAUAUAUUUUUUUUUAUUCGUCUAUUCUUUAUGACAAA
This 224-nucleotide unclassified non-coding RNA is filed under the name Glomeraceae sp. RNAcentral describes it as "partial contains 5.8S ribosomal RNA and internal transcribed spacer 2". The stretch from base 1 to 71 matches the Rfam family "5.8S ribosomal RNA", at positions 84 to 154 of the family's 154-position model. The record is from RNAcentral. Lineage: Eukaryota; Fungi; Glomeromycota; Glomeromycetes; Glomerales; Glomeraceae.